ACCAUUAUCUUCUAAAGAAAUAAACAGUUCGUAGUGACCUGCGGAGGAUCAUUAAUGAUUAACUGUCUGUCGAGCUUGCUCACAGACUUAUCAUAUCCAUAACACCUGGUGCACUUGUCGGAUGGGUUAGUGAAGACCGCAAGGUUGGAACUAUCCAUCUACUUUACAUAACAAUUUAGUAACAAAUGUAGUCUUAUUAUAACAUAAUAAAACUUUCAACAACGGAUCUCUUGGGUCUCGCAUCGAUGAAGAACGCAGCGAAAUGCGAUAAGUAAUGUGAAUUGCAGAAUUCAGUGAAUCAUCGAAUCUUUGAACGCACCUUGCGCUCCCUGGUAUUCCGGGGAGCAUGCCUGUUUGAGUGUCAUGAAAACCCUCAACCUUAGAUUGGUUAACACCUUUCUUUGGGUUGGAUUUGGACGUUUGCCGAUGAUAAGUCGGGUCGUCUUAAAAGUAAUAGCUGGAUCUGUCUCGCGACAUGGUUUGACUUGGGGUAAUAAGUAUUUCGCUAAGGACAUCUUCGGAUGGGCGCGUUGCAAGACUAAAGACCGCUUUCUAAUCCAUUGAUCUUCGGAUUAAUAUUCUUGACAUCUGGGGCUCAAAUCACGUAGGACUACCCGCUGAACUUAAGCAUAUAAAGGGGGGGGAGGAGAGGAAAGAA
Molecule: ribosomal RNA, 658 nt
Filed under: Naganishia diffluens
Lineage: Eukaryota; Fungi; Basidiomycota; Tremellomycetes; Filobasidiales; Filobasidiaceae
Description: eukaryotic LSU rRNA
Rfam family: 5.8S ribosomal RNA (bases 211-364)
Source: RNAcentral